RNAcentral lists this ribosomal RNA (253 nucleotides) under uncultured bacterium. RNAcentral's name for it is "partial 16S ribosomal RNA". It matches the Rfam family "Bacterial small subunit ribosomal RNA", at positions 524 to 776 of the family's 1533-position model. The record is from RNAcentral.
GACGAAGGGGGCUAGCGUUGUUCGGAAUUACUGGGCGUAAAGCGCGUGCAGGCGGCCUUGCAAGUCGGACGUGAAAUCCCACGGCUCAACCGUGGAAGUGCAUUCGAAACUGCGAGGCUGGAGUCCUGGAGAGGAAAGUGGAAUACUCGGUGUAGAGGUGAAAUGCGUAGAUAUCGGGAGGAAUACCAGUGGCGAAGGCGGCUUCUUGGCCUGUUCUUGACGCUGAGGCGCGAAAGCUGGGGGAGCAAACGGG